GGCAAAAUGAGAGUCCAACUGUCUCUUAUAACAAAUCAAUCAAACUGAUCUUCCAGUACAAAAGCUGGAAUUUUCCCAUAAGACCAGAAGACCCUGUGAAGCUUUAAUUAACCUAUUAAACCAUAUAAUAACUAAUUUAGGUUGGGGCGACCUUGGAACAAAAUUAAACUUCCAAAUAUAUGCCUUACACAUAUAAUAAGGCAAACAAGCCAUAAUUAGACCCAGUAUACCUGAUAAAUGAACCAAGUUACUCCAGGGAUAACAGCGCUAUCUUCUUCAAGAGCCCAUAUCAAAAAGAAGGUUUACGACCUCGAUGUUGGAUCAGGACAUCCUAGUAAUGCAGUCGUUACUAAGGGUUCGUUUGUUCAACGAUUAACAGUCCUACGUGA
RNAcentral lists this ribosomal RNA (389 nucleotides) under Proatheris superciliaris. RNAcentral describes it as "partial 16S ribosomal RNA". It matches the Rfam family "Bacterial large subunit ribosomal RNA", at positions 1998 to 2603 of the family's 2925-position model. Lineage: Eukaryota; Metazoa; Chordata; Lepidosauria; Squamata; Viperidae. The record is from RNAcentral.